GUAGCUCAGUGGUAGAGCAUCUGCCUUGCAUGCAGAAGGGCGCAGGUUCAAUCCACAGCAUCACCA
This 66-nucleotide transfer RNA is filed under the name Podarcis lilfordi (Lilford's wall lizard). RNAcentral describes it as "tRNA.Ala". It matches the Rfam family "tRNA". From Rfam's summary of the family: Transfer RNA (tRNA) molecules are approximately 80 nucleotides in length. Their secondary structure includes four short double-helical elements and three loops (D, anti-codon, and T loops). Lineage: Eukaryota; Metazoa; Chordata; Lepidosauria; Squamata; Lacertidae. The record is from RNAcentral.